GACGUAGGGCGCGAGCGUUGUCCGGAAUUAUUGGGCGUAAAGAGCUCGUAGGCGGCUUGUUGCGUCGUCCGUGAAAUCCCGUGGCUCAACUGCGGGCUUGCGGACGAUACGGGCAGGCUAGAGUUCGGUAGGGGAGACUGGAAUUCCUGGUGUAGCGGUGAAAUGCGCAGAUAUCAGGAGGAACACCGGUGGCGAAGGCGGGUCUCUGGGCCGUAACUGACGCUGAGGAGCGAAAGCGUGGGGAGCGAACAGG
RNAcentral lists this ribosomal RNA (253 nucleotides) under uncultured bacterium. Its description in RNAcentral is "partial 16S ribosomal RNA". It matches the Rfam family "Bacterial small subunit ribosomal RNA", at positions 524 to 776 of the family's 1533-position model. The record is from RNAcentral.